This 434-nucleotide ribosomal RNA is filed under the name uncultured Ruminococcus sp. RNAcentral's name for it is "partial 16S ribosomal RNA". It matches the Rfam family "Bacterial small subunit ribosomal RNA", at positions 341 to 792 of the family's 1533-position model. Lineage: Bacteria; Bacillati; Bacillota; Clostridia; Eubacteriales; Oscillospiraceae. The record is from RNAcentral.
ACGGGAGGCAGCAGUGGGGGAUAUUGCACAAUGGGGGAAACCCUGAUGCAGCGACGCCGCGUGAGUGAUGAAGUAUUUCGGUAUGUAAGGCUCUAUCAGCAGGGAAGAAAAUGACGGUACCUGACUAAGAAGCUCCGGCUAAAUACGUGCCAGCAGCCGCGGUAAUACGUAUGGAGCAAGCGUUAUCCGGAUUUACUGGGUGUAAAGGGAGCGUAGACGGCGUGGCAAGUCUGAUGUGAAAGCUAUGGGCUCAACCCAUAAACUGCAUUGGAAACUGUCAUGCUAGAGUGUCGGAGAGGUAAGCGGAAUUCCUAGUGUAGCGGUGAAAUGCGUAGAUAUUAGGAGGAACACCAGUGGCGAAGGCGGCUUACUGGACGAUAACUGACGUUGAGGCUCGAAAGCGUGGGGAGCAAACAGGAUUAGAUACCCUGGUA